GUUUCACUUGGAAAAAACAUACAUCAUAUUGCAAUAUAAUUUACUUUGAGAUUUCAAUUUGGAAAAUGGCAUGGAAAUAAUCCAGCUUGAACAUCGUCCUCCUCACCUCCUGGACUAGGGCGAGGGCCCCUUAUAUUUCUUCAUGGCAAUUGUGUCACAGUUCAAACGCUCGUACCCUGACUCCAUCUGGGAUUUGGAAUGCACUCAGGGAAGUGGCUGUGCAUGGAGACUAGAAAUGGAAGAGGCUUCCAAGGUCAUGCCUUUCAGGCUCCCUUCAAAUUCUACAGCUACUGUGAAGAGAGUUGCAUUCCCACAGAGAACAUGUCAGACUGGAGGAAAAUUGUGACAAAAGGUCUCCCCAAAGAUCGAGGAAAGGAGGUUUGCCUGAAAAGGAGCCAGAGUGGUUCCGCCCAGACUGACGUGCUUCUGGCAGCCGGUGUGUACUGCUUGGUGACUGCUCUUUCAUUUCAGGUGGUGAUUUACCAAAUGCCGCUUUUUUUCUGUAUGACACAGGCGUGGCCAAACAUAGUCACCACUCAGAAUGUUGGGGAAGUUUCUCGUCCCCAUCAAACAGAGGGAGCAACCCUUGGUGGUUCAACAAUGAAGCCUCCAUUAGCUGAGAAGUCUAACUGUGAUUUAUCAUUCCCUACCUAUAAAGAUUGUAAACAAAUCAGGAAGCUUUCUGAGUCUCUUAGUCCUCUACUUCCAGGUAGAAGUGGUAAGAAUGUCAACCUUCCCUCACAACAUUGUAAGAAGGAAUGAUUAUUUGAAUUGAUUAUAAAAAGAUGCUCUGCAUUAUUCAUCAUUAGGGAAUUGCAAAUUAAAACAACAAGGAGAUAACGGCUACAUACCUAUUAGGACGGCUAAUAUCCAAAACGCUGACAGUACCAAAUGGUAGAGCAACAGGAACCCUCCUUCAUUGCUGGUGAAAAUGUAAAAUGGUUCGACCACUGUGGAAAACAGUUUGGCAGUUUUUUACAAAUCUAAACACACUUUUAUCAUAUCAUUCUGCAAUCAUGCUCCUUGAUAUUCUCCCAAAUGAGUUGAAAACUUAGGUCCACCCAGAAACCUCUGCACAAAAGUUUAUAGCAGCUUUAUUCAUAAUUGCCAAAACUUAGAAGCCACCAAGGUGUCCGUCAAUAGGUGAAUGGAUAAAUAAACUGUAGUAUAUUCAUACAGUGGAAUAGUAUUGAGCACUUAAAAAAGAAAAAGAGCUAUUAAGCCACAAAAAAGAAACGGAGGAAGCAUAAAGGCAUAUUACUAAGUGCAAGAAGCCAAUCUGAAAAGGCUACAGACUGUAUGAUUCCAACUAUAAGACAUUCUGGGGAGGUAAAAUUAUGCAGACAGUAAAGGAUCAGUGUUUGCCAGGGUUUUGGGAAGAUGGAAGGAGGAAUUAAUAGAUGGAACACGGGAUUUUUAAGCCAAUGGAACUAUAUUGAAUGACACUGAAAGGGUAGCUACAUGGCAUGAUAGAUCUGUCAAAGCCCACAGACUGUACAACACAAACAGUGAACCAUAUGUAAACUGUGGGCUUUGGUCACAAAGAGCGAACUGUAAUGUAAACUGUGGACUUUGGUUGAACAUGAGGCAUCAAUAUUACUUCAUCAGUUGUAACAAAACAUACUGUGACAUGUUGGUGGUGGAAGGGGCUGGGUGUGUGUUGGGGGAUGGUUAUGUGGAAACUGUACUUUCUGCUCAAUUUUAUUGUGAGCCUAAAACUUGUAAAAAAUGAAACUUAUUAAUUAAAACUAAAUCGAUUUUAAAAUCUAGAUAAAAGUUAUUAUGAAGCAGAAAGUGAAUAUAAUCAUAUAAUUAUAUAAAUUAAUAAAAAUAAUUGUUGAAUGCAUGCUUUAGGAUUAAGUUCAGUUGUACACAACACAGAAAACAACAACAAGUGUGGUUUAGACAAGAUAGAAGAAUAUGUUUCUCAUGUAUGCAAAAUAAGCCUAGAAGUAGGCAGUCCGGAGUUGGAAUGGUGACUCCACAGAGACUUUGGGGACCAAGGCUUCUGGCUUUGCUGAGACUCCCAUCUCAGCAUCUUACUCCCAUCUCUUGGUCUGAUAUAAUUGCCAGAACUCCAGCCAUUACAUCUGCAUUCUAAACAGCAGAGAGCGAGGAAGGAGGAAAUACUGGCAUGCCUCCUCCCUUAAAUGCAGACUUACAGGAAGUUUCAUAUUAUAGUUCUGCUUUUAUCUUAUUGGUCAAGAACUUAGACAAAUUGGCACAUCUACCUGUGAAGGAGUCUCACAAUUUUUUACCUGUUGAAUGUACACAAAAUUUAAAAAAUCUGCAGAGAGGUCCAGCUAAAAAUCAGGGCUCUGUUUCUAAAUAAAAAGAAAGAAAGGGAUGUUGGAGUAGGCAGCUAGCCAUCUGAGACUUUGAGCAACUGUUGCUAAGUUAAAAAUACAGUGCUAGAGGCAGAGGAUGAAAAACACAUUAGAUCAAUAGGAGAAAUAAACAUGCAAGCACGCGGCUAUUAUAUAUGGUGGCAAUUUGUUAAUGGCACAAGGAUUUCAAAAGAGGAUGUGCGUAUGCCCAGUUGGGAUUGAUCAGAGAAGCCCUCCUAGAGGGAAGGAUAUUUUACAAAGACCUAGAAGGAUGGAGAGAAUUUGAAUGGUAGGAAGUGGUGGAAAAAAAGGCAAACUUGGCAUAGGAAAUGGCAUGAGAGAAAGCAAGUUGUUAUUUGAUAAAGAGGGAUAUGCCUGUUAUUGGUGCAUUUUAUAGUCUGCACAGAUACAGAAAGUGCCUAGGCAGGAAGAAGUUUAUGUCUGUAGUUUGGACAUCUACCCCAAUGACAUCAGUUUCUCUAUUCACAAUCUGUCCAUCAUUCCCAUGGGGUGGGAGGUGAGGAAGAAUUCCAUUCAACAACACACACUUAGAGUAUCUCAGGCAAAGAGACUUUUUUUCUUUUGUAUUUAUGAUAAAACACCCAAAUAUGUAUCCAAGUGGGAUUACCAGCCUGGGUUGGAUCCAAGAGACUUUGGUUACUAGAACUAUUUCUCAUCAUAAAUCCCCAAACAAGUUGAGUUUUUCACUUCCUCUCCUAAUCUGCCAUGGAGCACAGCCGAGUUGCUUGAAGUCAUCUACUUCUUGGCAGUGGCUACAAUUCCAAGAUGAUGGAACGAUUCUUUUCCAUAUACAUCAUUAUUAUUUCUAGUAUAAAUAUUUAUCAAGCACUCACUGUGCAAUAGAGAAGAGCUCCUGCUUGGUGGUCUUUCCAGCUGAACAAAACAAACAUGAGUAGAGGUUGAGGGAAGAGGUGGGAAGAGAACCUCAGCUGGUGGGAAACAAUAGGAAUUGCUUCCCCACCCCACCUCCUUUUAUUCAUGUUGGAUGUUGUUUGGACUUGACUGCCAUAUUUCAGAUACGUAAAAUGUGUUUUUAUUUGUUUAACAUAUGCUUUAUAGGGCUUACCAUGUGCUGUGCACUGUUCUAAGCUCUUUACAAAUAUUAACACAUUCAAUCCUCAUAGAAUCCUGUGAAAUAAGUCAUUUUAUUAUCCCUAUUUGCAGAUGAGGAAACUGAGGCACACAGUAAUUUGCCCAAGGUCGCUAACUGGGCACAGUGACUCUAGAGCAACACUGUUCAGUAGAACUUUCCCUGAUGUCAGAAGUGUUCCAUAUUUGCGCUGCCCAAUAGGGUAACCACUGGAUACGUGUAGCUGUUGAGCACUUGAAAUGUGGCUUGUAUGACUGAGGAAGUGAACUUCUGAAAGUUCAGAAGGCCACCCACCUCACCCUCCCAAAGUGCUGAGAUUACAGGCAUGAGCCACCACACCCAGGCCGCCUUUCUUUCCUUUCCUCUCCCUUCCUCCCUCCCUCCCUUUUUUCUUUCUUUCUUUCUUGCUUGCCUGCCUGCCUUCCUUCCUUCCUUCCUUCCUUUUCUUUCUCUCUCUUUCUUUCCAUCCCUCCCUCCUCUCUCUCUCUUUCUUUCUUUCCUUUUCUUUUCCUUUCUUUUCUUUUCUUUUUCCUUCCUUCCUUCCCUUUUCUCCUUCCUUCCUUCUCUUCUCUUCUCUUUUCUUUCUCUUUCUUUUUUUGAAGGAGCAAGAGCCAAGAAUAUAGAGAUUCUUUUGUAAAACAGUGAUCCUUCCUGGUGCAUUUGCUGUUUAAUUAUGAUAAACAACAUGAGAUAUAAGUUUAUAGAAAAAUAUGAGCAAGUCACUCAGGUGGUGCCAUUCUCUAUUCCCUGGCUAUUAAAUAGGACUACAAAAAAGCUCUAUCUCCAAUGCAAGUUUUCUCACAAUUGGUAGCAGAUGAGGAGGUCAAAGAGGAGAAAUCAACGGCUGGUUAGGUCAUGCACAUUUGGUAGCACAGACCAUUGUUAAAAGCAAAAAGCAACAUUAUAGUAUCUGGUGCCUGCUUGGGAAAAUGAAGAGCAGGACAAGGUCAUGUGUGUUAUCUUGCUGUCAUCAAGACUACUACUCCCUCUUUUCUCUCUUUCCCUCCCAUCUUAAUGCUUCUCUACUUUACUCAGCUUUCAUGGUUAAACUCAAAUUCCACUUCUUCCUUGAAAGCUGCCCUCCUGUCUCCAUGUGAAAGCAUCCUCCCUACAAUAUGACUGUAUGUUUCUUCUGGUACUCAAUGGGUUCUAUACUAUAUAAUAGCUAAGUAAGUACAAGUCCUA
This 4623-nucleotide long non-coding RNA is filed under the name Homo sapiens (human). Its description in RNAcentral is "non-protein coding LINC02454:14". Lineage: Eukaryota; Metazoa; Chordata; Mammalia; Primates; Hominidae. The record is from RNAcentral.